GGGGUUGUGGCUCAGAGGUAGAGUGCUCACCUAGCAUGUGUAGAGCACUGGGUUCGAUCCUCAGUACCACA
Molecule: transfer RNA, 71 nt
Filed under: Marmota monax (woodchuck)
Lineage: Eukaryota; Metazoa; Chordata; Mammalia; Rodentia; Sciuridae
Description: tRNA.Ala
Source: RNAcentral